Molecule: long non-coding RNA, 820 nt
Organism: Carya illinoinensis
Lineage: Eukaryota; Viridiplantae; Streptophyta; Magnoliopsida; Fagales; Juglandaceae
Exons: 2
Source: RefSeq, a predicted model, not a curated record
UGUUGCUUAAUCUUAAGGAAGGGUUUUGGUUUCCCGCUCAGUGCAAUAAUGAAGAAGGCAAGGCAGAACGUAACCCAGUCCCUUUCGUCCGUCUCCGCCAUCGGCAUGACUCUGCAUCGGCAUGUCUCCACCACUGGCACGUCUGGGCACGGCUCUCUCGCCACCGAGACGUCUGGGCAAGGCUCUGUCGCCACCGGCAUCAGAUUCAGAUUCAGGUUUCGCAGUCAGCCAAACGAGGCCUUUGAUGAUCUCUUGUGCCUUCCAAAGCCACCUGCUGUCCUUUGCCACGCACUUCUCUCUCGAAUCCGUAGCCGCUUGCUCUCCUCUGACAUCGAUGUGAGCAUUGGGUUGUCAUCGUGGGACGGUAGCUCCUCCCCACUCCUCAACGUCAUCAGCAAGCCAAUGUAUCCAAGAUUCUCGACGCAGGAUUGGAGUUUCUGUUGGAUGAUUCAAUCGACACGAGAUUCUCAAGGAGAGAGGUGAUAAGAGGAUGUUGGUUGAGUGGGAGCAUGUGGCAGUUUGAUGAUGGCUCAUUCUUCACCACUCUCACUUGCGGUUUGUAGACCAGUUUGUUUGGAGUAUUUAUAAAAGUGGAAUGCAUUCAGUAAAAUCAGGAUAUCAUUUAGCUUAGGAGUUGUUAAAACAUGGAAGAAGGAUUUCAAGUUCACAUUCACAAAGCACUUCUGAGUUUUAGAGGAAGUUUUGUGGAAUCUGAAAUAAGGUGUUGGUAGACAUUUAUGUAAAGAGGAUUGUGUUGGUAUUUAUGUUUACACCAAAAACAAUACUUUGCUACCAAAUAAAGAGGAAUUAAUUUUGGUUA